UACGAAGGGAGCGAGCGUUGUUCGGAAUCACUGGGCUUAAAGCGUGCGUAGGUGGAUGUGUAAGUAAGAAGUGAAAUCCCAGGGCUUAACCCUGGAACUGCUUUUUAGACUGCACGUCUGGAAUUCGGAAAAGGUUGGUGGAACUCCCAGUGUAGAGGUGAAAUUCGCAGAUAUUGGGAAGAACACCGGUGGCGAAGGCGACCAACUGGUCCGACAUUGACACUGAGGCACGAAAGCGUGGGUAGCAAACAGA
This 253-nucleotide ribosomal RNA is filed under the name uncultured bacterium. RNAcentral describes it as "partial 16S ribosomal RNA". It matches the Rfam family "Bacterial small subunit ribosomal RNA", at positions 524 to 776 of the family's 1533-position model. The record is from RNAcentral.